CUGGUUCUCUAGGGAGCAUGUGCACGCCUUGUCAUCUUUAUAUCUCCACCUGUGCACCUUUUGUAGACCUUCCAGGUCUAUGUUGCUUCAUUUACCCCAAUGUAUGUUAAUAGAAUGUUGUGCCUACAAAAUACAUACAACUUUCAGCAACGGAUCUCUUGGCUCUCGCAUCGAUGAAGAACGCAGCGAAAUGCGAUAAGUAAUGUGAAUUGCAGAAUUCAGUGAAUCAUCGAAUCUUUGAACGCACCUUGCGCUCCUUGGUAUUCCGAGGAGCAUGCCUGUUUGAGUGUCAUUAAUAUAUAUCAACCUCUCUCUUGUUGGAGUGGUUUGGAUGUGGGGGUUUGCUGGCCUCUUAAAGAGUUCAGCUCCCUUGAAAUGCAUUAGCAGAACAGACCUGUUCAUUGGUGUGAUAACUAUCUACGCUAUUGAAUGUGAGGGGAAGUUCAGCUUUCUAACUGUCCUUGGACAAAUUAUCAUUUAUGUGACCUCAAAUCAGGUAGGACUACCCGCUGAACUUAAGCAUAUCAAUAAGCGGAGGA
RNAcentral lists this ribosomal RNA (539 nucleotides) under uncultured Cortinarius. RNAcentral describes it as "eukaryotic LSU rRNA". The stretch from base 139 to 292 matches the Rfam family "5.8S ribosomal RNA". The record is from RNAcentral. Lineage: Eukaryota; Fungi; Basidiomycota; Agaricomycetes; Agaricales; Cortinariaceae.